GCUCCGAUAGUUUAACGGAUAGAACGGCCCCCUCCUAAGGGGCUAGUGGGGGUUCGAUUCCCUCUCGGAGCGCCA
This 75-nucleotide transfer RNA is filed under the name Neisseriaceae bacterium. RNAcentral's name for it is "tRNA-Arg". It matches the Rfam family "tRNA". From Rfam's summary of the family: Transfer RNA (tRNA) molecules are approximately 80 nucleotides in length. Their secondary structure includes four short double-helical elements and three loops (D, anti-codon, and T loops). Further hydrogen bonds mediate the characteristic L-shaped molecular structure. tRNAs have two regions of fundamental functional importance: the anti-codon, which is responsible for specific mRNA codon recognition, and the 3' end, to which the tRNAs corresponding amino acid is attached (by aminoacyl-tRNA synthetases). tRNAs cope with the degeneracy of the genetic code in two manners: having more than one tRNA (with a specific anti-codon) for a particular amino acid; and 'wobble' base-pairing, i.e. permitting non-standard base-pairing at the 3rd anti-codon position. The record is from RNAcentral. Lineage: Bacteria; Pseudomonadati; Pseudomonadota; Betaproteobacteria; Neisseriales; Neisseriaceae.